GAGGGGCUAUAAACUGCUGUAGGCUGAAUGGGUGGGGCUAUAAACUGCUGUAGGCUGAAUGGGUGGGGCUAUAAACUGCUGUAGGCUGAAUGGGUGGGGCUAUAAACUGCUGUAGGCUGAAUGGGUGGGGCUAUAAACUGCUGUAGGCUGAAUGGGUGGGA
Molecule: long non-coding RNA, 161 nt
Organism: Astyanax mexicanus (Mexican tetra)
Lineage: Eukaryota; Metazoa; Chordata; Actinopteri; Characiformes; Acestrorhamphidae
Exons: 3
Source: RefSeq, a predicted model, not a curated record